Molecule: unclassified non-coding RNA, 282 nt
Filed under: plant metagenome
Description: partial contains small subunit ribosomal RNA, internal transcribed spacer 1, and 5.8S ribosomal RNA
Source: RNAcentral
UUUCCGUAGGUGAACCUGCGGAAGGAUCAUUGUCGAAACCUGCCCAGCAGAACGACCCGCGAACUUGUAUAAACAACCGGGGGCGGGGGGCGUUCUCGCCCCGUGCCCCCGAACGGCGGGGAGACACUCGUGCCUUCUUGCCGAACAACGAACCCCGGCGCGGUCUGCGCCAAGGGGAUUCAACUAAAGAGGGCCUCCGGUCGCCUCGGAAACGGGGGGCGUGCCGGGGGCGAAUUUUGUGCAAAACCUUAACGACUCUCGGCAACGGAUAUCUCGGCUCUC